AUGACAUUUUUGGGUGAACUGACCCUUCAUCUGUAACCUCCUGUGCAUGUAUGCUGAUGUCAGGAAGGCAAAGAUAUUGUGAAUUACUAACAUGAAAAUCUCUCACUUGCAGGAGUAACGAGAUACCGUAAAAAGGAGGGGGAACCCUUCAGCUAUAUUUUUUCUGCUGUUAAAGCGCAUGUCUGGGCUGUUAGACGAAUGCUGUCAUACAUGGUCAACGGAUAUGGCUGUUUCUCCAGAGAUGGAAGUCCACAAUUUAACCCCAGUUUGUCAGCAGAGUGCCAGGAUCUGUUGAGGCGGUUAUACAGUUUCCACCCUGAAACAGGACCUGUUUUAGAGGAGAUUUUAGAGCACGAGUGGUUCAGCAUGACGUAGAGGCCAUCAGCAGCAGGAAACGGUUUCAUUCUUCCAUGUUUGACGUUUGUCAUUUGUUGUUUUCCGCUUCUGCUUCCCAAAUUCUGCACUUCCUCCUGCGAGGGAUGCAGUCAGAGCUGCAUGUAAAUGAGGGCCGGUUGAAGCGUCUCCAUUCGUCCAUAAGCUCUAGACUGACAGCUCCUCCUCCAGCCAAUCUGGUGAGGAAGGAAGCUGAUGUCACUCUAAUGGCGGCCGAUGCGCACAGGCGACGCCGGAGAUUGAGUGUUAGCGCUAAUCCUCAGCUGGGGUAGAAUGUGUCUGCGGCAGGACAGCAUUAAUAGUUUGAAAUAAGGAAAGCAGGUUGAUUGACGUUUAGACAGGACGUAGUGUUUUAUUUGAACUGGGUUAGCACUGACUGUAGAGUAAAUAGUCAUAUUAAGGGAAAUAGUCACAGAUUAAUCAAUCAAACUGCUGGAUUUAUUAGCAUACUGGUGUGCUUUAUUUCUCUAGCUGUAGGAGUAAUCGUAAAAGAUAAAGUCUGCAUAUCAUUACUGUAGUGCGUCAAUACUUUAUAAAGACAGAAAGCCUAGUUUAGACAGUGGUCGUAGCUCUAACGGGACUUUAGGCAGGUUUAAGUGAGAUAAGCGCAUAUAACAGGGGCGUCGUGGGCCGGUUUUGAAGGCGUUUUCUCUUUAACAGAGAUAGGAUGGGGUGGUGUAGAUGGCGCUGGCGGGGCAGGAUUAUAUGGGCGAAUACGCUAGAUAUAAGAGCCUCCUGCCACAGACAUAUUUUAGCCCAGCGGUGGAUUUCUCAGAUCUGAUGAGGAUUAUUUCUAGUGCUGCUGCUCACACCUUUCUGCUUUCUUCUUCUUCUCACUUGUUCUCCAAGCGAGCGCUGGAUUUCUGCAAAUGAGCUUUAACUUAAACCAGUAGCUGAAGGAGUUUAAUGGAGACAUUUUGAACAGCAGCGUUUGCUAAAUAACAGCGGUUUAGUCAAGACUGGGAUAUUUAGAUAUUGGUUAUGGACACAAGUGUAGUUUAGAGUAUGACUUUAAUAGAUGUUUAUUGAUAUUAAUAAGCUUAUUAUUGAUGAUGUUUAGCUUAUUUUUGCUUGUGUUCUUUAGAUAAUGUGCGUGCUUGUUUGGAGAAAAUCUUUGGUCCUCAUUGAUGAAACAUCAGUAAAUAUUGGAGUAAGUUAGUGAUAGUUAAAGGUUUGAUAGUUAAACGUGUUCGUUAAUGAAGUAUAAUCAGUCAGGGUUAGGGUUUAGAGUUAGACAUGCACAACAUAGAGGAGUAAUCAUCUUUACUAAUGAGGACAAACCUCACCUCUUUCUUUCUUUCUUUCUUUCUUUCUUUCUUUCUUUCUUAAACACUUGAUUUUUUGUUUUUAGACUUAGGUUAGGGUUAGGAUAUGGUUAGGGUGUUUGUUAGGGUAAUCGUUGGGUUAGGUUAUGGUUAGGGUUUGGUUAGGGUUGGGUUAUGGUUGGGUUAUGGGUUAAGUAAGGUUUUUUUUUUGCUUUGUGUUUGGUUUAUUUAGUUUCUCCUCUUUCUUCUUCUCUGUCACUGUUGUGUGAUCACUGCAGAUUGUUAUUUAAGAGCGAUUGUUAAUUAUUAUACACUUCUCUGUCCUCGCCUGUGCGCAUUGGCCGUCAUUAGAGUGACGUCAGCUUUUCUCCUCGCCUGAUUGGCUGGAGAAGGAAGCUGUCAAUCUAGAGCUAAUAGGCCAAUAGGGAGGCUUCAGCCGGCCCUCAUUUGCAUGCAGCUCUGACAGCGACACUCGCAGGAGGAAGUGCACAAUGUGGGAAGCAGAAGCAGAAAACAGCAUCAUGUCAGAAAACUAUGGAAGUAUGAAUUCCUGAUGAUCUGAUUUGGUCACUGACCACAUGUGUGCUGCUCUUCCUAUCAUUUCUGUGAAAUUGAGACUGUACGCAGAGCGGCCUGCGAACCCCAUGGAGUGUGUUGAAGCUGUUUUCUGAUCAAACUGUAAACUAUUGUCUUCAAUAAAUUGUAUCUC
Danio rerio (zebrafish) is the source of this 2367-nucleotide non-coding RNA. The record is from RefSeq and is a predicted model, not a curated record. Lineage: Eukaryota; Metazoa; Chordata; Actinopteri; Cypriniformes; Danionidae.